Molecule: ribosomal RNA, 250 nt
Filed under: uncultured Chloroflexota bacterium
Lineage: Bacteria; Bacillati; Chloroflexota
Description: uncultured Chloroflexi bacterium partial 16S ribosomal RNA
Rfam family: Bacterial small subunit ribosomal RNA
Source: RNAcentral
GACGUAGGAGGCGAGCGUUAUCCGGAUUCACUGGGCGUAAAGCGCAUGUAGGCGGUUUGAUCCGUCCGAUGUUAAAGCCCCCGGCUCAACUGGGGGAGGUCAUUGGAGACUAUCAGACUUGAGGGCAACAGAGGCACGUGGAACUCCCGGUGUAGCGGUGGAAUGCGUAGAGAUCGGGAAGAACACCCGUGGCGAAGGCGACGUGCUGGGUUGCGACUGACGCUGAGAUGCGAAAGUGUGGGGAGCAAAC